Ictalurus punctatus (channel catfish) is the source of this 1151-nucleotide long non-coding RNA. NCBI's taxonomy places the organism in Eukaryota, Metazoa, Chordata, Actinopteri, Siluriformes, Ictaluridae. The record is from Ensembl.
GUCCCCGACUGGUUCAGUUAUUGGCAGAGGUGCGAGGGUGUGUUUUGAAGGGUUACCAGCUGUCAGCAAUUAAGGAAACAGGACGGCCUCCGCCGGGCAGCAGACAGGCGGAGCACCACCCUCAGCGGGGCUGGAGCUCGGUGGGACAUCCUCUGCGGGGCUGGAGCUCGGAGGGACGUCCUCUGUGGGGCUGGACAACGGGGCAGCUUCCUCGACGGGACAGGACAGCGGGACAGCUUCCUCGGCAGGACAGCUUCCUCGGUGGCAGAGACCUCCCAGCGGGUCUAUGGCUGGAGCUCUGAGGUCGCCAGGCUGACCUCAGGCGGGGGCCCAGAGGUCACCAGAUUGACCUCAGGUGGGGGGCACAGAGGUCGCCAGGUUGACCUCAGGCUGGAGCUUUGGAGAUGAGACCUCCCCGUAGGUCUCAAGCUGGAGCUCUGAGGUCGCCGGGUUGUCCUCAGGCGGGGGCUCCGAGGUCACCAAGUUGACCUCGGGCUGGAGUUCCAGAGCUGAGACCUCCCCGUAGGUCUCUGGCCAGAGCUCUGAGAUUGCCAGGUUGACCUCAGGUGGGGGCUCCAAGGUCACCAAGUUGACCUCGGGCUGGAGUUCCAGAGCUGAGACCUUCCCACAGGUCUCUGGCCGGAGCUCUGAGGACUCCAGAUUGACCUCAGGCGGGGCCCAGAGGUCACCAAGUUAAACUCAGGCUGGGGCUUGGGAGCUGCGGAUUCGAGUGUGUUCACCCACUUGGGAGCUGCGGAGUCUAGCAUGAGGAGGUACUCACCAGGUCCUCCGCCCAGUCCCUGGCCGGGCCGCAAAACCAGGACACCAAGAACCCGAUCCACUGGCUCUUAGUAGGCUUGGGAUACGCCAGGCUGCAGAAAUAAACCUGGCAGCUGCAGAGGAAUUCCAGCGGGUAGCUCCCCAAUUCCGCUGUUGCUGGUGGAAGUUUGGCGGACUGGAAACGCGGCCAGUAGUCCGAGUGUCUCCCAAUAAGGUGUUUUCCUGCUACUUCCAUGGUCAGGGGCAGUAUUCUGUUAAAGGAGUGUUCAUGCCAUAGUUAAAGGAGUGUUCAUGCCAGAGUUAAACGAGUGUUUAAUGCCUGAGUGAAAGGAGUGUUUCAUGUCAUAGUUGUGUUCUAAGUUUAGUGCUUC